RNAcentral lists this unclassified non-coding RNA (253 nucleotides) under uncultured Flavobacteriaceae bacterium. Its description in RNAcentral is "contains 16S-23S intergenic spacer region". It matches the Rfam family "Bacterial small subunit ribosomal RNA", at positions 524 to 776 of the family's 1533-position model. Lineage: Bacteria; Pseudomonadati; Bacteroidota; Flavobacteriia; Flavobacteriales; Flavobacteriaceae. The record is from RNAcentral.
UACGGAGGAUCCAAGCGUCAUCCGGAAUCAUUGGGUUUAAAGGGUCCGUAGGCGGGAGAAUAAGUCAGUGGUGAAAGCCUGCAGCUCAACUGCAGAACUGCCAUUGAAACUGCUUUCCUUGAGUCAUUAUGAAGUGGUUAGAAUAUGUAGUGUAGCGGUGAAAUGCAUAGAUAUUACAUAGAAUACCGAUUGCGAAGGCAGAUCACUAAUAAUAUACUGACGCUGAGGGACGAAAGCGGAGGUAGCGAACAGG